Mus musculus (house mouse) is the source of this 1992-nucleotide long non-coding RNA. RefSeq annotates it as predicted gene, 32123. The transcript has 3 exons. Lineage: Eukaryota; Metazoa; Chordata; Mammalia; Rodentia; Muridae. The record is from RefSeq and is marked validated.
GCUGUCUAGAAGCUGCCUCACCAGUGUCCUCUCUGAGGGCCAGGUAGCAAACUCACAGACUAGUUUUAGAAGAACUUUAUCAGCCUUCAUCUCAAACCACAUCAUUGGAGACUAUCGAAAAAAUACAGGAGACCAGGACCAAGUUCCCAGCCUUGCAAACAACAUCUUCCCAGACCACCGAGGAGACAGAAGUCUUAGGGAGUUUCCUAGGAUUACCAAGUCAUAAUGAUUCCACAAUAAAACACUUUAUCAUGCUGGGUCUAAACAUCCAAGAAAAGUGUCACUUGUGCGAGGGGAAGCUGGAAGCUGGAAGCUGGAAGGAGCCCGCUUCUCUAGAACCAGAACAAUUCCUGAGUCCGGUAAGAACUUUAGUACAUUGCCUCUUCUCAUCGAGCCUACAUCCAUUUCUCUAAAAUGGAAAGGGGAGUCCAGUGUAAUGGAGCAAUCUGUAAGGAACCUCCAUACAAGUGUGAAGGACUGAGUUUCAGCCUCAGACCCCAUAUAAAAGCUAGAUACAGUGACAUGUGCCUGCAAGAGCCCAGCAGAGAGGAGAAUUCCAGGGAUUUGCUGAUCAGCCUGUCUAGUGGAAGCAGUGAGCUGCAAGAUCAGUGAGAGACCCUGCCUCAAAAACAUAUGAUGGGAAAGGAUUGUGGAAGAUACCCAGCAUUGAUCUCUGGCCUCCAUGUUCAUGCUUGUGCAUACACAAACACACACACACACACACACACACACACCCCACACUCAUAAAUAUGCAGUGUUCUAAUUCUGAAGCCUCCGUUCUUCUAAAGGAUAAUAAAGUCUGGUGCAUUUGUUCUUAAUGAAAUUAACACCAGGUUAAAUAAUCAAAGAGCUUGCUGGGAGGUUGGUGCACCAGCAGAUAGAAUAGAAUGUUUCUCCUGGCCCUUGAAUUCAGUAUGUUUUCUUAGAAAUAAGACUAAAACCUAAUGCUAUAGAAAAUGCCAUGAGUAUUUGCAUAUCCUACAAAGAAUAUUUGCAUAUAAUUGGUUGUAUAAAGCAGGGUGCGUGUUUCUUGGGGUGAGAUGCCAGCUGGCUGACAACUCUCCUGUGUGAUUCUGGUGUGCCAGGUACUUGUCAGGUAGUGUUGAGUCCUCAGAACCACAGAUGCUUAGUACUUGUUGAACACACCUUGAAACUGAGGGCCAGAGCCAGAACUGGCUGGCAGUAGCACCACAGGACAUAGGGACAUCACUACUCUUGGUGCCACUUUUCUCGCCUACAGCAUCACAGUAUCUGGUGGAAGGGGUGUGUCUGCAGUGACACCUGCAAGGUGGAUUAAGGUCACUGGGAUUUAGUCACAGCCUUCUGUUGCACGGAAGGUUUGGACAAAGUGACCUCUACAAUCCAGUCCACUGAGGUUUCAGACUUAAGGUACUCACUUAAGUAGCAGUUACCAAAAACAAACUCUGAAACACAUCUGCCCAGGAUUCGCAGGAAAAGCAUGUUUUCAGAUCAAAUGUGUUUGGAAAAUAUUCCUAAUUAUGUCCCCAGUUAGAGACUUAUAAUGCAUGUUACAAACAUCAAACUCUCCGAUAAGGCACACAAUUAAAGCCCGAGUAGUUACUUAAUCUCUUUCCUAGACUUGAUGAAUUGUCAACCCCCCCCCCUUUUUUCUCUACCCACAUAACACAUAGAGGCACUUGUUGAGGGAACUAGAGUAACAGAAAUGGCUGUAGUUCCCGAGUUCUCACUGGUCAGAGCAGCAGCAGUUCUCAGGAAGACUCGGGGGUCAGAAGUGAGGGCUGGAGAGAGAACCUGAUUAGGACUGAUGCUCACCGGCUUCUGCUUCCAGGAGCUCUUAAAGCUCACAUAUGGUUUACUCGUGAAAAGCAAGAGCCAGGGCUCCCAUGCAAGCCCUUCUAGAAGAAACUAACACCAUUGAUACUGCUUCUGAAAUCUUGACAUUCGAGUAUCUCAGUGCUCUCUGUAUAUUUUUAUGGUUGUGUAAAAAACCGUCUUAUGGAUGAACACAAA